RNAcentral lists this ribosomal RNA (301 nucleotides) under uncultured bacterium. RNAcentral's name for it is "partial 16S ribosomal RNA". It matches the Rfam family "Bacterial small subunit ribosomal RNA", at positions 509 to 807 of the family's 1533-position model. The record is from RNAcentral.
CAGCAGCCGCGGGAAUACGAAGGGUGCAAGCGUUAAUCGGAAUUACUGGGCGUAAAGCGUGCGCAGGCGGUUCGCUAAGACAGAUGUGAAAUCCCCGGGCUUAACCUGGGAACUGCAUUUGUGACUGGCGGGCUAGAGUAUGGCAGAGGGGGGUAGAAUUCCACGUGUAGCAGUGAAAUGCGUAGAGAUGUGGAGGAAUACCGAUGGCGAAGGCAGCCCCCUGGGCCAAUACUGACGCUCAUGCACGAAAACGUGGGGAGCAAACAGGAUUAGAUACCCCAGUAGUCCCUGUCUCUUAUAC